AACAAAGAGCUAAUGACAAGUUGCUUAAGAAUGAUUAAUAGAUCAAUCAGUCACAUUAAAGCUUAUACAGUAAUAUUUUGUUGUAACUGAACUUACUCAUAAUUCUAUGUACUAUUUGCCACAAUGGAAAUCGCAUAUGCUGUCAAGUGACACUAGAAUCUGUGCUAUUGCAGAAAUUUGGAAUGAAAUUGCAGCUGUGUCAGGGGCUGAGUCCUUUAUGACCACAUCGAAAGAAACUACUGCCAGAAUGAGAACCUCAAGGGACUUGGAUGGUCUGCCUUCCCAUUUUGAUGUCCUUCUCGUACCCUUCUGUUUGUGUGGUCACGAUUAAGCCACGUCAACAUUUUAUAUUACUAUUUCUUUUUGUUUUAUUAUUUAAAAAAAAAACAAUAUAAAAUGUUGACGUGGCUUAACCGUGAUCACACAAAACAGGAGGGCACCGAAAUGGGAGGGCAGACAAUCCAAGUCCAACCUCAAGAGGUCCAAUUAUAGUCAAAGCUACAGUGCUUUCUGUUGUGUCCAAAACCCAGAGCAUGUUCGUAACUAUCUGGAAACUUAACAUA
RNAcentral lists this long non-coding RNA (563 nucleotides) under Malus domestica (apple). RNAcentral describes it as "long non-coding RNA (MDOM_LNC014829)". Lineage: Eukaryota; Viridiplantae; Streptophyta; Magnoliopsida; Rosales; Rosaceae. The record is from RNAcentral.